RNAcentral lists this ribosomal RNA (424 nucleotides) under uncultured bacterium. RNAcentral's name for it is "bacterial SSU rRNA". It matches the Rfam family "Bacterial small subunit ribosomal RNA", at positions 497 to 917 of the family's 1533-position model. The record is from RNAcentral.
ACGAGUGCGUGUGCCAGCCGCCGCGGUAAUACGUAGGGAGCAAGCGUUGUUCGGAUUUACUGGGCGUAAAGGGCGCGUAGGCGGCAACUCAAGUCAGCUGUGAAAUCUCCGAGCUUAACUCGGAACGGUCAGCUGAUACUGUUUUGCUAGAGUGCAGAAGGGGCAAUCGGAAUUCUUGGUGUAGCGGUGAAAUGCGUAGAUAUCAAGAGGAACACCUGAGGUGAAGACGGGUUGCUAGGCUGACACUGACGCUGAGGCGCGAAAGCCAGGGGAGCAAACGGGAUUAGAUACCCCGGUAGUCCUGGCCCUAAACGAUGAAUACUUGGUGUCUGGAGUUUCAAUACUUCGGGUGCCGUCGCUAACGUUUUUAGUAUUCCGCCUGGGGAGUACGCUCGCAAGAGUGAAACUCAAAGGAAUUGACGGG